Molecule: long non-coding RNA, 919 nt
Organism: Brienomyrus brachyistius
Lineage: Eukaryota; Metazoa; Chordata; Actinopteri; Osteoglossiformes; Mormyridae
Exons: 3
Source: RefSeq, a predicted model, not a curated record
GGCCAUAACAUGUGAGCAUAUGCAUUCGUGUACCCUGUGAUGGAGUGGCAUCUCAUUCAGGAUGUUCUCCUGCCUUGUGCCCUCGACUGCUAUGGAUGGACUCGAGGCCCACCAGGGAUUCUGUGCUUUGUAAGAGGUUGGAGGAGGGAUGCAUAAAGGUUCUGUUUCAGAUUUACGCCUUAAUUCAUGAAAUAGAACAUUUUGCAACUGGAUUCUAGUUUCCCGUAAGGCUGGGUUAUUGAUACAUCAAUGAAAUAUUGCAAUGUAGGAAUUUGGCCCUAAAGAGGUGCCCAUUUGCACUGGCUGCCAGGUGGGUAAUUGAGCAGGGGUUGUGAUGGCUGGUAGGCAGGGGCCUAUAGGGGAAUAAGAUCAGUACUCAUUGCAUGCAACUAAUUAAGUAAUUAGUAAUAAUGAGCCAAUUAUGUUUUAAACCAGUAACAACUGCAGUUUAAUACAGUGCCAAGGGUAUAAGAUGUCAGGGUUGCGUGAUUAUUUCUGGUUGGGAGGCAGAAUAUAGCCAGUGAAUGUGAUUGUUUGCGAUUGUGGUCCAUGUGAAUGACACCAGUAUCUUUCCUAGUUGUAGGUGCAUCCUGCGACUGGAUGCGGUCUUGCACAGGCCAGCUGACCAUUCAGCCCCGAGUUUUGAAUCAGAAGGCAAUGACUGAGUCUGCGUGAGCUGGAUGUGAUCAUCGUGAGCUGGGUGUGACUGCACUAGCAUCUCUGCAGGCUCCCUCUGUGCCCGUCGACAGUCUUCAUUUGAAUGCUGAGGCCUGCAGAGUCAAUGCCAGUGGGCUCUUACUCCCACUGGCUCUGGGGAUGAUGGCAUCUUGCCCUUUGACCCUGAAACAUGAUCUUGUCUCUAUUUCUUGGAAAGGCAUGAAGACUAAUUCCCCAUAUGGAUUAAUAAAAUACUUUUUUU